RNAcentral lists this long non-coding RNA (224 nucleotides) under Zostera marina. RNAcentral's name for it is "long non-coding RNA (ZMAR_LNC005274)". Lineage: Eukaryota; Viridiplantae; Streptophyta; Magnoliopsida; Alismatales; Zosteraceae. The record is from RNAcentral.
GCAAAAUUAAAAAUAAGGACAGAGUGAAAAACUGUCGUAUUUCAUCUCUGGGUGCUUGGGUUAAUCGUAUUUCUGAUGAUCGGAAACAUUGCUUUUUGUUUAUAUUUUUAACAAAAUCACUAAGACAUUUGAUUGACUAAAAGAUGCAACUCUUCGGCUGGGUAACCGCUAGUUAGGGUUAUUGGACUUACACGAUGAUGAAAGGAAUCCGGGCAGAAGAUGAC